GUAUAAAAUAUUGUGCCAGCAUAUGCGGUUAUACAAUAACUUUGAGUUAAUCUUAUUGGUUAUAUUUAUUUUUAGUUUUUGGAUUAUCAAAUGAUAAUUUAGGGUGGAAUCUUAAUUAUUAUAUAUAUUUUGGUUUAAGAGAAUAAUAAAAUGUGAUUUAAACUAGGAUUAGAUACCCUAUUAUUCAUAAUUGUAAUUAUGGGACCUUAUUAUUAAUAGUUACUUUCUUUAAAUUAAAAAGGUUUGGCGGUUUUUUAAUCUUUUCAGAGGAACCUGCUCUUUAAUUGAUAGUCCACGUUGAAUUUUACUUUAGUUUAUAAUUUGUAUACCUCUGUUAUUGAAUGUCUUAUUAGGGAGUUUAUUUUCUAUAAUUAUUAAUAUAUUGAAUAUCAAGUCAAGGUGCAGUUAAUAUUGAAGGUUGAAGUGGGUUACAUUAAAUGUAAUUUAAUGGAUUAUUGUUUGGAAUUAAUUUUAUUAAAUUGGAUUUGAUAGUAAGUUUCCUUAUUUAAGGAGGCUGAAUUUAGCUCUAAUUUAUGUACAUAUCGCCCGUCACUCCCAUCUUUAAAAUGGGAUAAGUCGUAACAAAGUAA
This 590-nucleotide ribosomal RNA is filed under the name Pylorgus porrectus. Its description in RNAcentral is "12S ribosomal RNA". Lineage: Eukaryota; Metazoa; Arthropoda; Insecta; Hemiptera; Lygaeidae. The record is from RNAcentral.